Molecule: ribosomal RNA, 253 nt
Filed under: uncultured bacterium
Lineage: Bacteria
Description: partial 16S ribosomal RNA
Rfam family: Bacterial small subunit ribosomal RNA
Source: RNAcentral
UACAGAGGUCUCAAGCGUUGUUCGGAUUCAUUGGGCGUAAAGGGUGCGUAGGCGGCGCGGUAAGUCGGGUGUGAAAUCUCGGAGCUUAACUCCGAAACUGCAUUCGAUACUGCCGUGCUUGAGGACUGGAGAGGAGACUGGGAUUUACGGUGUAGCGGUGAAAUGCGUAGAUAUCGUAAGGAACCCCAGAGGCGAAGGCGGCCCCCUGGCUCGUACCUGACGCUCAGCCACGAAAGCAUGGGGAGCGAACGGG